UUAUUCACCUUAUUCUCUACUUCCACAACCACAAGCCAGCACAAAUAGGAUUUAUCUUCAAGAAGCAGUCUGCGUAAAGAUUUUCAUCCCUACAGCACAGAACAUCACAAGGUUUCCUUUUUGAACUCCUCUUGUUUCGUUCUUACUAUAUGAUUAAAGCACCCAGGUUUCAUAUAUGAAAAGUGAAGAAAACACACGCAUACAUACAUACAUUCAGAUUCAGUGAGUCUCCUUAGAGGGUGUUUGGCUGAGCUUAUAAGCUCCUCAAAAGAAGCUUAUAAAGUCCCCUUGAGAUGGCCUAGUGGUUGGGGUGGUUGCCUGUUGUCCACGAGGUUACAGGUUCGAAUACACUCGGCCACGAGGUUACAGAUUCGAAUACACUCGGCCACAAUAAGGACUAGGUGGGGUGUGUGUGGUUUGUAUUAUUUAUAAUUCAAUUUCAUCCAAAAAAAAAAAAAGAGCUUAUCCCCAAAAAAUAAAUUCAACCCCAACUUAUUUUUUAUAAUCUCAUAUACAACAAUCUUAUUACAAAUAUACACCUUAAUCAACUCAAAUACAGAUAUGUAUUUAUGUGUUAAUAAGCAACAAGUCACUAUAAUACACAAAAUCUGCAUGCAAGUUUGAAUUAAAACGAAUACUAAAAGGGGGUUUUUUUAGCUUAGUUCUGAUGUUGAAGUGUGUGAAAUCGGAGAUGGGCUGGUGACGACGGUAGUGGCAUGAGAUGCCGUUGCUGUGAGAGAGAGACGGAGGGAUGCUAGUGUUCGGCGACGGCGGCUUAUGGCUGUGCUUUCGCCCAUCGAAGGUGGCGGUGGUGGCUGGAUCCGAGAGUCCAGGGUUUUUAAGCCGCGGCGACCUCCUGCCGUUGCUGACAGUCGGACUGAGACGAGGGCGGCGCGGGACGUGCGUGCGUGUACUGUUUCGGUGUCCGUGUGUGUAGUGUGGGACGAGUGAGAGGUCGAGGGAGAAGAGGUGGCGACCGACGGCGCUCGCUGUAAGAAGGAGGAGGCGCUGCCUGGGAUUGUUGUCUGUGUGUCGGCGGUUUCUUUUGCGAGUCUGAGUGAAGAAGGAAGUGGAGAAAUAGGUGGGCUUCGGGCUGUUGGGCUUUAAGUUGGGCCCUUAUUUUUAAUUAAAACUUAACUGUCCUAUUAAAUAAAACUGGGCUGCUUUUUUUUUUAUAGGGCCUUUUAUUAAUUUGGCCUCUAUUCAUUUAAUUAACUUGGUUAAAUGAUAUAAGUGUCUACUUAAUUAAUUAGACUCUUUAAUUUAAGUUUAAUUAAUUCUUCUAAAAAAAAUAUUGC
RNAcentral lists this long non-coding RNA (1298 nucleotides) under Salvia miltiorrhiza (redroot sage). RNAcentral's name for it is "long non-coding RNA (SMIL_LNC006025)". Lineage: Eukaryota; Viridiplantae; Streptophyta; Magnoliopsida; Lamiales; Lamiaceae. The record is from RNAcentral.